Long non-coding RNA from Nerophis ophidion (straightnose pipefish), 634 nucleotides. RefSeq lists it as uncharacterized. NCBI's taxonomy places the organism in Eukaryota, Metazoa, Chordata, Actinopteri, Syngnathiformes, Syngnathidae. The record is from RefSeq and is a predicted model, not a curated record. The transcript has 3 exons.
AGUGGGGUGAGUAGAAGAAGACUACUCAUUCAACCUGGGUAUAUUUUAAAAAAAACAAACUAAUAAAUGGCAAAACUGUGACUUUUAACAACAACUGGACGACAAAGUAUGAAUAUUCUACCGACUGCUCAAGUCAUUGUUUCCUGUCGGAGCCUUUAAGCCACGGACACAUUGAUCCAGACAACAUCAACAAUGGCAGACAUGCCGGCGUGUCAACUCGGUCAAACAUUUAACAAGAGCAAGAAUUCUACUGAUUUUGACUCAUAUCUGACAAGAAAGAAGUGAACGCUGAGGAGCAAAGGCUGGCCCUUUUUUCGUCCGCCUACGCUUCCGGCCAAGGAAAUGACCGCCAUUACAGGCUGCACUUGAACGAUCAGCACAGCAGGGACACUCCUUGCCAGCAGGGGGCAGCACCUUGUGAUUGUCACUGCUGGGAAAAAGAAGAAGUUUGUAGCUUCUCAAACAAAUCUAAGAAAGGCCAUUUUGUUUGACUACUUGAUUAGAAAAGUUCAAAUAAUGGAUUUUCUCCGUGGAUGAAGAUGUUUUCCUACAUCCAGGUCAGUGUAUUUUCUUCAUAUUUUUUUUGGGACUGGAUUCACAGUCCCUUUUCUCUGUUUGUAGUUUUUCAACAAAG